GUGGUUAAAUUUUAACUUUGCAGACAAACGCUGAGGUGCCCCAAGAUCAGUCUCAGGCUAUAGUAACACACUGAAGUGCUCUACUUCCUGAAAUGCUGACAGGAGCUUGCUAGGAAAACAUUUGGCAUUAACUAAGAACCUCAGGCUACAGAUGCUGCUAAGAGGAAAGGAAACACAGCAUCAAAUGAGACACGAGACCAAACAGUGGCUCUUUAUCAGGAGUACCCACUGGGAAUGCCAUUCUCUGCUCUCAGGCAGAAGGUUUCUUCUGUGCACUCCUUGAGCUUUUCUUUUUUAAUAAUUUAAUAGUGAGCAUUUUUAGUUUCUCUACCAAAUGAGGUUCUCUGAUCCAAGUGGCUGGGGAAAUAAAAACAACUGAAAAAGCUUAA
Molecule: long non-coding RNA, 389 nt
Organism: Haemorhous mexicanus (house finch)
Lineage: Eukaryota; Metazoa; Chordata; Aves; Passeriformes; Fringillidae
Exons: 2
Source: RefSeq, a predicted model, not a curated record